This 491-nucleotide ribosomal RNA is filed under the name uncultured bacterium. Its description in RNAcentral is "partial 16S ribosomal RNA". It matches the Rfam family "Bacterial small subunit ribosomal RNA", at positions 29 to 507 of the family's 1533-position model. The record is from RNAcentral.
AGUGAACGCUGGCGGUAGGCCUAACACAUGCAAGUCGAACGGCAGCACAGUAAGAGCUUGCUCUUACGGGUGGCGAGUGGCGGACGGGUGAGGAAUACAUCGGAAUCUACUUUUUCGUGGGGGAUAACGUAGGGAAACUUACGCUAAUACCGCAUACGACCUACGGGUGAAAGCAGGGGAUCUUCGGACCUUGCGCGAUUGAAUGAGCCGAUGUCGGAUUAGCUAGUUGGCGGGGUAAAGGCCCACCAAGGCGACGAUCCGUAGCUGGUCUGAGAGGAUGAUCCGCCCCACUGGAUCUGCGCCCCGGCCCCGCCCCCUACGGGGGGCGGCAGGGGGGAUUUUUGGACAAUGGGCGCAGCCCUCCUCCCGCCAUCCCGCGUGGGUGAAGAAGGCCUUCGGGUUGUAAAGCCCUUUUUUGGGGAAAAAAAAGCAGCAGGUUAAUACCCCGCUGUUCUGGCGGUACCAAAAAAAAAACCCCCGCCAACUUCGUG